UCUCGGUGAUGAUACAAAACAGAUGACGAGUCCGAUCCAUUCAUAAAAAUCAUGACGACAAAACGAGGCAUUUGUCUGAGAGAA
Spinacia oleracea (spinach) is the source of this 84-nucleotide non-coding RNA. The record is from Rfam. NCBI's taxonomy places the organism in Eukaryota, Viridiplantae, Streptophyta, Magnoliopsida, Caryophyllales, Amaranthaceae.